AACGAACGCUGGCGGCAUGCCUAACACAUGCAAGUCGAACGAGACCUUCGGGUCUAGUGGCGCACGGGUGCGUAACGCGUGGGAACCUGCCCUUAGGUUCGGAAUAACUCCCCGACAGGGGUGCUAAUACCGGAUAAUGUCUUCGGACCAAAGAUUUAUCGCCUUUGGAUGGGCCCGCGUUGGAUUAGCUAGUUGGUAGGGUAAAAGCCUACCAAGGCGACGCUCCAUAGCUGGUCUGAGAGGAUGAUCAGCCACACUGGGGCUGGGACACGGCCCAGACUCCUACGGGAGGCAGCAGUGGGGAAUAUUGGACAAUGGGCGGAAGCCUGAUCCAGCAAUGCCGCGUGAGUGAUGAAGGCCUUAGGGUUGUAAAGCUCUUUUACCCGGGAUGAUAAUGACAGUACCGGGAGAAUAAGCUCCGGCUAACUCCGUG
This 433-nucleotide ribosomal RNA is filed under the name uncultured bacterium. RNAcentral's name for it is "partial 16S ribosomal RNA". It matches the Rfam family "Bacterial small subunit ribosomal RNA", at positions 29 to 507 of the family's 1533-position model. The record is from RNAcentral.